UACGUAGGGGGCAAGCGUUGUCCGGAAUCAUUGGGCGUAAAGCGCGUGUAGGCGGUUCAGUAAGUCUGCUGUGAAAGUCCAGGGCUCAACCCUGGGAUGCCGGUGGAUACUGCUGGGCUAGAAUCCGGAAGAGGCGAGUGGAAUUCCUGGUGUAGCGGUGAAAUGCGCAGAUAUCAGGAAGAACACCCGUGGCGAAGGCGGCUCUCUGGAACGCAACUGACGCUGAGACGCGAAAGCGUGGGGAGCAAACAGG
RNAcentral lists this ribosomal RNA (253 nucleotides) under uncultured bacterium. RNAcentral describes it as "partial 16S ribosomal RNA". It matches the Rfam family "Bacterial small subunit ribosomal RNA", at positions 524 to 776 of the family's 1533-position model. The record is from RNAcentral.